This 413-nucleotide unclassified non-coding RNA is filed under the name fungal sp. RNAcentral's name for it is "partial internal transcribed spacer region". The stretch from base 1 to 46 matches the Rfam family "Eukaryotic small subunit ribosomal RNA", at positions 1786 to 1831 of the family's 1831-position model. Lineage: Eukaryota; Fungi. The record is from RNAcentral.
AAGUCGUAACAAGGUCUCCGUAGGUGAACCUGCGGAGGGAUCAUUAACAAAUUUCAUUUUACAAAGCGAGCAAAUUCAACUAACAUUGAAUCCAAUCGCUUUGCAAAAUUCAAACACAGCGCGAACGAAAUGACUGACCACAUAGCUAAGCUAAGCUGAUCAAUUUAAUUUAUUUUAUUUUUUUCUCUUAGCUUAGUUGUGCGGCUUUUUUUCUACACUAACAAAUUUCACCUAAUUUUUGUUUUCUUUCAAUUUCGAAAUGAAAAACUUAAAGCAAAUUUAACCGAUCAAAUGCGAGUUUGAGCGAUUAAUUUAUUUCAGUUUUUGAUUCGAUUCAAAUUAAUUUUUAUAAUUUAAUCGUAUAAAAAAAAUAAAUUAAAGCACAACUCUUAGCAACGGAUAUCUUGGUUCUC